GGCGCUAUAGCCAAGUGGUUACGGCGACAGAUUCGAAUGGUAUGUGAUAUCUGUUACUCUUUGAGUGCGCAGGUUCGAAUCCUGCUGGCGUCG
Non-coding RNA from Chiua virens, 93 nucleotides. The record is from the annotation of a GenBank genome assembly. Lineage: Eukaryota; Fungi; Basidiomycota; Agaricomycetes; Boletales; Boletaceae.